Molecule: non-coding RNA, 1356 nt
Organism: Pantherophis guttatus
Lineage: Eukaryota; Metazoa; Chordata; Lepidosauria; Squamata; Colubridae
Source: RefSeq, a predicted model, not a curated record
AGGAGAGAAAGGCAUGGCCGAAGGCGGAGCUUGGUCGCCUUGGCGACUGCUGCUUCAUUCCGUUCCCAAUUCUGUGAUAUAAAUUCCGAGACGGGUUUCUUUCGUGAUCAUUAGCCCUUGGUGGAAGAACGCGGUCGCUAGCUUCAGUCAUCUAAGUGGAUUUCUUUCGGAAUGGACCGAAUGAGGGGGACUUAAAUCUUUUCAAUAUUAAUCUGGGAAGAAUGCUCCAAGGUUAGAACUGAACCUGUUCCGCACAAGCGAUAGCUGCUACCUUUUUUCGUCUGCUUUUGGAUUUGUUAUGGAUGUAGAUGGUGGGAAGCAGUCAAAAUAGCUUCAGGCACAAAUAUCCGUCGUACUUGUAGAUCAAGUCCGGAGCAGGAGAGUGCAAUCUUUUCUGUCUGACUACCACCUAAGUAAAUCCAAGAUGCGGGAUUGCGUUCCUCUGUUUGCGAGGGCCAAUUUCUUUUAUACAAGCGCAAACGACUGAUUGCCUGGCCCUGGGACUCUAUAUUUUUGCUGGAGACCAAUAUAAUUUCUGUUAUAAACUUCAGGCUUCUUGCAAGAAAUCAACUGAUAAUGGUACAAAACUUGGGAAUGUCUGGAAGAUGCAUCAGCGAUUACAACUGGAAUUAAUUCAUCAUUGAACUUUUUAUUUUUAUGUGCAAAUAAUUCUAUAGAUACCUCAUAUCCCUUGAGCACACAACUUUUGUUAACAAAAGCCAGCAUGGACAAUGUGGUGAGAUGUUUUGAAAUCCAGUAGCAUCUGGAGGACCACACUUCUAAUUUCUGCUCUAAUUGGCUGUCUUAAUUUAUGGUAUUUCUAUAUUGCUAGCUUAACAAAAAGUCCUAUCAGGUUAAUAAUAUAAAACCACAAAAACAUGUCCCCAACAAAACAACUUUUGACAUUUUCCCCAAAAAUGUUAGGGAGAUUUCAUUUGAAUAUUCAGAGAGGAAGAACUCCAAAAACAUCCCAAUGGUGACUGACAAUACAGAAUGAUUACAGAAUGCUGACUGAUUACACUACUGACAGAGGAAAUGGAAUGGAGUAUUAUGGAGAGGAGCAAAUUCUAUCCAGUCUGCUAUAAAGAGGAUUCUUCAUCUGCAAUAUUGCAUGUCUACCUUGCUUGUUACCUAUGUCUACUUAUCCUAAAUUGUUGUGGAUACAUUUGAAUGUAUACAUGUGUUUGUGCUGAGUUCAGUUUCCAUUAUUAACAUUCUUAACAAUGGUAACUUUAGAAGCUUUCUAACCAUGUGACAGGCUGGUUACUACAAGCAAAUUAUAAUAAAAAUAUUGCUGUAUAGGAAAUUCAUGCAACCCAAAUAAAAAAUUCCUUUUCUCACCCCUUGUGGGUGGUA